CAGCAGCCGCGGUAAUACGUAGGGUCCGAGCGUUGUCCGGAAUUAUUGGGCGUAAAGAGCUCGUAGGCGGUCUGUCGCGUCUGCCGUGAAAUCCUCAGGCUCAACCUGAGGCGUGCGGUGGGUACGGGCAGGCUAGAGUGCGGUAGGGGAGAAUGGAACUCCUGGUGUAGCGGUGGAAUGCGCAGAUAUCAGGAAGAACACCGAUGGCGAAGGCAGUUCUCUGGGCCGUAACUGACGCUGAGGAGCGAAAGCGUGGGGAGCGAACAGGAUUAGAGACCCGCGUAGUCCCUGUCUCUUAUAC
This 301-nucleotide ribosomal RNA is filed under the name uncultured bacterium. RNAcentral's name for it is "partial 16S ribosomal RNA". It matches the Rfam family "Bacterial small subunit ribosomal RNA", at positions 509 to 807 of the family's 1533-position model. The record is from RNAcentral.